UACGUAGGGGGCAAGCGUUGUCCGGAUUCAUUGGGCGUAAAGAGCGUGUAGGCGGCCAGGUAGGUCGGUUGUGAAAACUGGAGGCUCAACCUUCAGAGGUCGACCGAAACCAUCUGGCUAGAGUCCGGGAGAGGAGAGUGGAAUUCCUGGUGUAGCGGUGAAAUGCGCAGAUAUCAGGAAGAACACCCGUGGCGAAAGCGGCUCUCUGGAACGGUACUGACGCUGAGACGCGAAAGCGUGGGGAGCGAACAGU
This 253-nucleotide ribosomal RNA is filed under the name uncultured bacterium. Its description in RNAcentral is "partial 16S ribosomal RNA". It matches the Rfam family "Bacterial small subunit ribosomal RNA", at positions 524 to 776 of the family's 1533-position model. The record is from RNAcentral.